AUAAACCAUUAUAACUAAUAUAAACAUCUUAUAAACCAUUAUACAUGUCUCAUAGGCCGUCAUCUUAUUUGUCUCUAAUUGGAACUUCUCAAACCAUAUCUAAUGAAUACUUUAAAUCAAGGAUUCAAAACACUCAAGGAAUGAGACUCGUGAAGUAGAGAGAUGAUGAAAAGAAAAAGGAUACAGCCUGAGAUCUUUGAU
This 201-nucleotide long non-coding RNA is filed under the name Brassica napus (rape). Its description in RNAcentral is "long non-coding RNA (BNAP_LNC018887)". Lineage: Eukaryota; Viridiplantae; Streptophyta; Magnoliopsida; Brassicales; Brassicaceae. The record is from RNAcentral.